CUACGGGAGGCUGCAGUGAGGAAUUUUGCGCAAUGGGCGAAAGCCUGACGCAGCAACGCCGCGUGAGUGAUGAAGGCUUUCGGGUCGUAAAGCUCUGUCAAGUGGGAAGAACCUAUAUAAUGUUAAUACCAUUAUAUACUGACGGUACCACUGAAGGAAGCACCGGCUAACUCCGUGCCAGCAGCCGCGGUAAUACGGGGGGUGCAAGCGUUAUUCGGAAUCAUUGGGCGUAAAGAGCACGUAGGCAGCCUGGUAAGUCAGAUGUGAAAGCCCGGGGCUUAACCCCGGAAGUGCAUUUGAUACUGCCCGGCUUGAGUAUGGGAGAGGGAAGUGGAAUUCCUGGUGUAGAGGUGAAAUUCGUAGAUAUCAGGAGGAACACCGGUGGCGAAGGCGACUUCCUGGACCAAUACUGACGCUGAGGUGCGAAGGCGUGGGUAGCAAACAGGAUUAGAUACCCGCGUAGUC
This 465-nucleotide ribosomal RNA is filed under the name uncultured bacterium. Its description in RNAcentral is "partial 16S ribosomal RNA". It matches the Rfam family "Bacterial small subunit ribosomal RNA", at positions 339 to 795 of the family's 1533-position model. The record is from RNAcentral.